Long non-coding RNA from Bacillus rossius redtenbacheri, 1923 nucleotides. RefSeq lists it as uncharacterized. NCBI's taxonomy places the organism in Eukaryota, Metazoa, Arthropoda, Insecta, Phasmatodea, Bacillidae. The record is from RefSeq and is a predicted model, not a curated record. The transcript is spliced from 3 exons.
UCUUCUUUUUAAGUUAAAAUGAAAAUUACCUAUUUUUUUAAUAAUUUUUUUUACUAAGUUAUGUUCUUGUAAACGUAUUUUUUUUCUUGCCGAACCACCAAAAAAAAGAGAAAACUUAAAGAAUGAUUAUCUUAAGUAUAGUUCAAGUAAUGAUUGUACAAAUAAUUUGUCGGACCAAGAAAUACAGAAUAUUCUUUUUUUAAUUGUUAAAUUUGCAUUUGAGUUUUGAAAAUUUCCAUGGCUCUUUGCCGGUCUAUUUUAAAAUAUAUUUUACGAAAGAAUUGCAAUGAAGUUUAAAAGAUACUAUCUGACACACCAUUGAGUCACGCAUGUAUUCUCGUAUCCUUUUGGUUUUGAGAUGACCUGACUCAAAACACAUACGCUGGAGUGAUAUUCCUAGCACUGCGCGUGAAAACUUCAUUUGCCGGGAAGAAUGUCCCUGCGGCGUGGCGCAAACUGGUGGCGCUCCUUGGAACCACGUAGGCGGAGAUCCGGCCGGCAGCCGCUGUAAUGAGGGAGGGGGGAGGGAGAAGAAUGGAGUGUAAAAGGGACAGAAUAACGGGGGUAGAGGGAGGCAGGCUGAGGCGGGCGAUGACACCGCGUCUCACUGUCAGACAAGGCUACGCUCUGUAGUGGAUGGAGGCUAUUGUCGCUCAAGCAAGGAAUAGGUUUUCGUGGAGAAAAAUUCGUGUAGCGAAAUUAUUUUUAAUUGUUACAUUUUUGAUAGAAGUUAAAUACCAACACGAUGCCGAAAAAGACACCAUUCAGCAAGAUCCGUAAAAGAACUAAACGGUCGAAGUGCAUAAGAAGACUGAAGGAAAAAUACAAAGAAUUUGUUAAUGCUGGUUUCAACUCUGUGGAAAGGUAAGAUUGCAAACUUUUGAGUGUGUUCAUCUUCACUAAAAUUCUGCCAGCACAACAUGUAUGUAUUAUAAAAUCACAUUUUUAGCUGUGCAAAAGUGCUAAUAUUAUUAAUUAAUUCCACAGGACAUCUUCCAGUUUAACAGAUUAUGCUCCUGCUGCUGCUACACAGAUGGAAACGUCUGCCUACGUACCACCUGUAUGCCAGGGCGAUCACGACACCACCAGCGGUAACGUCCAAAAUAUAACCGACGAGGAUAUUUCUGGAUUGGAUUGCUCAUUCUUGCCAAGUGAAGAAGUAUCGAAUGUUGAAAUUCUUCCAAAUGAAACUGCUGAAACUGUGACAAUGAAAGAAAAAAUCGUUCAAGGACGUCGUUUUGUAAAUAUGAGUCACAUGUUAAACCAACUCACAUCUUUAGCUACUCAUGUGCUACAGUGCACAACAGGUCGCUUUGAACUUCAGUCCGAAAAAAGAAUUGGCAUUGUCAGCUACUUCACUUAUAAAUGCAUGAUGUGUGAAAAAACAAGGAUAAUUUCAACGGAAAAAGAAGAAGAGGAAUUAAAUGAUUUAUUUGUGUGGGGAUCAUUAUCAGUUGGGAUUGGACACCAACAAGUAGAAGAAAUGAUGGCAGUAAUGGAAGUCCCUGUAAUGAGUAAACGGAAAUGGACGAGACAUGAACAGCGAGUUGAAAAGGCAUGGGAAGACAAACUGGAAAAAUACAUGCUUGCUAAUGGAGUCCAAGAACGUGAAAUCGCUCUAAAGAAGGGCAACAUAGAUGAAGAUGGAAUCCCUUACAUUACAGUCUAUCAAGAUGGCGGUUGGUGUACAAGAUCAUACGGCCAUGGUUUUACUGCAAAAUCAGGAGUUGUAAGUAUUUGUUAGAAUUUUUAUAUAUAUUGUUAGUGUUUAUUUGUAAUGGCUUAUAAUGUUUCUGCCAAAAUUAUGCAAGUAAAGUUUCGUAGGAAAUAAAUCUAACUAAUUUCAAUGUGUUUACUACCCAGAACUCGAAUCCACAUACUUUAAAACAAUAAAACAAUUUCAAAUACCCAUUUAUACGCCUG